GACGAACGCUGGCGGCGUGCUUAACACAUGCAAGUCGAACGGAAAGGCCCUGCUUUUGUGGGGUGCUCGAGUGGCGAACGGGUGAGUAACACGUGAGUAACCUGCCCUUGACUUUGGGAUAACUUCACGAAACUGCGGCUAAUACCGGAUAGGAUCUCCUGCUGCAUGGUGGGGGUUGGAAAGUUUCGGCGUUUGGGGCUGGACUCGCGGCUUAUCAGCUUGUUUGUGGGGUAGUGGCUUACCAAGGCUUUGACGGGUAGCCGGCCUGAGAGGGGGACCGGCCACCAUGGGACUGAGAGACGGACCAGACGCCAACGGGAGGCAGCGGUGGAGAAUAUUGCACAAUGGGCGGAAGCCUGAUGCAGAAACGCCGGGUGCGGGAUGAUGGCCUUCGGGUUGUAAACCGCUUUCGCCUGUGACGAAGCGUGAGUGACGGUAAUGGGUAAAGAAGCACCGGCUAACUACGUG
Molecule: ribosomal RNA, 468 nt
Filed under: uncultured bacterium
Lineage: Bacteria
Description: partial 16S ribosomal RNA
Rfam family: Bacterial small subunit ribosomal RNA
Source: RNAcentral